Molecule: ribosomal RNA, 502 nt
Filed under: Phaeosphaeriopsis sp. UFMGCB 2037
Lineage: Eukaryota; Fungi; Ascomycota; Dothideomycetes; Pleosporales; Phaeosphaeriaceae
Description: eukaryotic LSU rRNA
Rfam family: 5.8S ribosomal RNA (bases 136-289)
Source: RNAcentral
AAAGCGACUUAUGCAGGGCCUUGGAUGUGAGUUGGCAGUGGGCUAUGGUACAUCGGUGGGCUUGCGUGCCGAUUGGACGAAACUAUAACCUUUGUUAAAUCUUCAAUCAGCGUCUGAAUUAUACAUAAUAAUUACAACUUUCAACAACGGAUCUCUUGGUUCUGGCAUCGAUGAAGAACGCAGCGAAAUGCGAUAAGUAGUGUGAAUUGCAGAAUUCAGUGAAUCAUCGAAUCUUUGAACGCACAUUGCGCCCCUUGGUAUUCCAUGGGGCAUGCCUGUUCGAGCGUCAUUUGUACCCUCAAGCUUUGCUUGGUGUUGGGCGUUUUGUCUUUUUUAGGAAGACUCGCCUCAAAGUAAUUGGCAGCCAGUGUUAUGGUAGUAAGCGCAGCACAUUUUGCGUCUUAGUCCCUCAGCAGCGGCAUCCAUAAAGCCUCUUUCUCACUUUUGACCUCGGAUCAGGUAGGGAUACCCGCUGAACUUAAGCAUAUCAAUAAGCGGAGGA